Molecule: ribosomal RNA, 457 nt
Filed under: uncultured Actinomycetales bacterium
Lineage: Bacteria; Bacillati; Actinomycetota; Actinomycetes; Actinomycetales
Description: bacterial SSU rRNA
Rfam family: Bacterial small subunit ribosomal RNA
Source: RNAcentral
CCUACGGGAGGCUGCAGUGGGGAAUAUUGCACAAUGGACGAAAGUCUGAUGCAGCGACGCCGCGUGAGGGAUGAAGGCCUUCGGGUUGUAAACCUUUUUCGCUUUUGACCAAGGCAGCAUUUUGGUGUUGUUGAGGGUAUGAGGUAAAGAAGCUCCGGCUAACUACGUGCCAGCAGCCGCGGUAAUACGUAGGGAGCGAGCGUUGUCCGGAUUUAUUGGGCGUAAAGGGCUUGUAGGUGGCUUGUCGCGUCUGCCGUGAAAUUCCGCAGCUUAACUGUGGUAGUGCGGUGGGUACGGGCAGGCUUGAGUGUGGUAGGGGAGACUGGAAUUCCUGGUGUAGCGGUGGAAUGCGCAGAUAUCAGGAGGAACACCGGUGGCGAAGGCGGGUCUCUGGGCCAUUACUGACGCUGAGGAGCGAAAGCGUGGGGAGCGAACAGGCUUAGAUACCCCUGUAGUC